Molecule: small RNA, 2737 nt
Filed under: Mytilus galloprovincialis (Mediterranean mussel)
Lineage: Eukaryota; Metazoa; Mollusca; Bivalvia; Mytilida; Mytilidae
Source: RNAcentral
AUGAUCUCUUGGGAGUAUUGCUGCGUUUCAGGAAAGAAAUGGUCGCAGUUAACUGCAGACGUUCAACAUAUGUUUCACUGCUUUGUUGUCAGAAAAGACCACCGAAAUUAUCUGAGAUUUUUAUGGCAUAAAGACAAUGACCUACAGAAGAACCUUGUCGAAUACCGCAUGAGAGUUCAUGUUUUCGGAAAUAGUCCGUCACCUGCCGUUGCUACGCUUGGACUCAGAAAAGCAGCUCAAGCAUCAGAACAAGAGUUUGGCAGUCACGUGACUAGCUUUGUUACAAGAGACUUCUAUGUCGACGACGGUCUAACGUCAUGUCCUACUAAAGAGGAAGCUGUUAAGCUCAUGAAGGACACACAGCAAGCAUUAGCAAAAUAUGGAAACUUACGCCUUCACAAGUUUGCCUCUAAUUGUGCGGAAGUUAUGUCUGCAUUUCAUGCCAGUGAUUUGGCUUCAAAUCUUAAAGAUCUAGACUUAGAAUGCGACAGCAAACCCCUACAACGUAGUCUUGGUCUCAGCUGGGACGUAAACACUGAUAACUUCUUAUUUCAAUUAUCAUCAGAAAACAAACCGAUCACUCGGAGAGGAAUUUUAUCAACGAUAAACAGUCUCUACGAUCCUCUGGAUUUUUGGCUCCGGUGAUUAUACAAGGGAAACUCCUAUUAAGGAAAAUAGUAUCAGAAACCGUCGAUUGGGACCAACCUCUCUCUGAUGAGACAGCAGAUGAGUGGAAAUCUUGGAGAGAUACUCUAAUUGCUAUCGAAACAUUGCGCAUUCCACGUACCUACGUGCCGUAUCUCAGCAAAACCGCCACAAAGGAGUUACAUGUAUUCUCUGAUGCAUCAGAAAAAGCCAUAGCAGCUGUUGCAUAUCUACGCACGACCGACAGUAGUGGUGAACCAAACAUAGGUUUCAUUCUUGGGAAAGCUAAAGUUGCACCAACAAGUGGUCAUACUAUUCCACGCCUUGAACUAUCUGCUGCAGUAUUAGCAGUCGAGAUAACACAGACCAUCAUGGAUAAUUUAGAUUUACAUAUAGACACCGUAAAAUUCUACACAGACAGUAAAGUAGUCCUAGGCUACAUCAGUAACGAGACAAGAAGGUUCUUUAUCUAUGUCGCCAAUCGAGUAGAGAAAAUAAGGAAAUUUAGCUCUCCAAGUCAAUGGAAUUAUGUACCAACUAACCGUAAUCCCGCAGACUCGGGAACAAGGUCCGUACCAGCCCAUGAAAUUCACAGCAGUGAAUGGUUAUUGGGACCAAAACAACUUCUUUCCUCAGAACAGAAGAAUUCUGAGGACAUAUACCAGCUAAUAGAUCCAGAAGAAGAUGGAGAAAUCCGUGCUACUGUUAAUGUUGCAAAAACAUUUUCCACACCUGAGCAUAAAGGUAUCGGAACUGAUAGAUUCAAUCGAUUCUCCAACUGGACAUCACUUGUGCGAGCGAUAGCCUUUUUGGAACGUUUUCUCCCGUUUACACGGGUCAAAAACAGGCAUCAUCAGUGACUUCUCUGGAUAGUUUUUCGAAUGCCGAAAAUUUCAUCUUAAUAUCUGCACAACAUGAAGUUUAUGGAGAUGAAAUAGAUUGUAUAAAACGUCAGGAACAAAUUAAUAAGCGGAGCCCGAUAGCUAACCUCAAUCCGUUUUUGGACGAACAAGGACUAUUACGAGUAGGAGGCCGUAUUGCCAAAUCUGACUUAGACCUCCGUGAAAAGAAACCAUUGAUCGUCCCUGGACGCCAUCAUAUAGCGACAUUAUUAGUUCGACACUACCACAACAAGAUAAAACAUCAAGGUCGCCAUUUCACAGAUGGAGCGAUUCGAUCCGCAGGAUUUUGGAUCGUAGGAGCAAAACGCUUGAUCUCAUCUAUUAUUCACAAAUGUGUGACAUGCCGCAAACUCAGAGGAAAAACCGAGUAUCAAAUCAUGUCUGAUUUGCCAGAGGACCGUCUUGAACCUUCACCUCCGUUUACUAACGUUGGAAUAGACACCUUUGGACCCUGGACAAUUGUUUCACGUAAAACACGUGGUGGAUACGCCAACAACUCAAAACGUUGGGCAAUUUUAUUCACAUGCUUAGUGACAAGAGCUAUUCACAUCGAAUUAAUCGAGGAAAUGAGUUCUUCAGCCUUCAUAAACGCUGUCAGGAGAUUCGCCGCUAUAAGAGGCCAAGUUAAGAUUUUCCGAUCUGACCGUGGAACGAACUUUAUCGGCGCAAUCGACGAUUUAAAGAUUGACUCAAUCAACGUUGAAGAUGGACCCUUCAAGAACUUUCUGUACAAUUCUGGUACAACUUGGAUCUUCAAUCCGCCGCAUUCGUCCCACAUGGGUGGAGCCUGGGAAAGAAUGAUUGGUAUCACCAGGAGAAUUCUUGAUUCUAUGCUUCUUAACGCAGCCGGAAGAAGCCUAACACAUGACGUGCUCAACACACUAAUGGCAGAAGUUUCAGCAAUAGUGAACUCUAGACCUCUGGUACCGGUAUCAACAGAUCCAGAGAAUCCGUUAAUAUUAACUCCGGCUAUGUUAUUGACACAGAAAAACCGACUACAUAUUCACCUUCAGAUCAUCUUGGAGAAUUCGAUAAACGAGAUCUAUGUCUUGCCGAAUGGAGACGAGUACAGGCUCUUGCCAGUGUUUUCUGGUCCCGUUGGAGGAAGGAAUACCUGCCGUUACUACAACAACGACGAAAAUGGACCGAAGAUCGCCGUGAUCUCAUCGAAGGAGACGUCAUUCUUCUAA